This 254-nucleotide ribosomal RNA is filed under the name Amphidinium carterae. Its description in RNAcentral is "partial Bacterial large subunit ribosomal RNA". It matches the Rfam family "Bacterial large subunit ribosomal RNA", at positions 1730 to 1995 of the family's 2925-position model. The record is from RNAcentral. Lineage: Eukaryota; Dinophyceae; Amphidiniales; Amphidiniaceae.
GUAACUUCGGGAGAAGGAGUAGCUUUUUCAGGGCAACCUGUUAAAGCUGUCACAAAAUCAAGGACAGCGACUGGUUAAUAAAACCACAGGUCUCUGCAAAAUUGUAAAAUGAAGUAUAGAGACUGACGUCUGCCCGGUGCUGCAAGUAUAAUAGAAAAAGUUGAGGCUUUGACUAGAAACCCCAGUAAACGGCGGCUGUAACUCUGACGGUCCAAAGGUAGCGAAAUUCCUUGGCAAAUUGGUGUCCUGCAUGA